RNAcentral lists this transfer RNA (72 nucleotides) under Camelus bactrianus (Bactrian camel). It matches the Rfam family "tRNA". From Rfam's summary of the family: Transfer RNA (tRNA) molecules are approximately 80 nucleotides in length. Lineage: Eukaryota; Metazoa; Chordata; Mammalia; Artiodactyla; Camelidae. RNAcentral also lists the same sequence under 2 other names. The record is from Rfam by way of RNAcentral.
GAGGGUAUAGCUCAGUGGUAAAGUGCAUGCUUAGCAUGCACAAGGUCCUGGGUUCAAUCCUUAGUACCUCUG